AGUGACUGGCCUAGCUUCCCAGGCUACAUCUUUCUACUGCGCUGUGCUGGAUGCUUCCUGUCCUUGAACAUCAGACUCUAAGUUCUUCAGUUCUGGGACUUGGACUGGCUCUCCUCACUCCUCAGCUUGCAGACAGUCUAUUGUGGGACCUUGUGAUCUUUAUACAGCACCCUCCUUCACUCAAUCAGCCAUGGAAGAAAAGGUGUAAUUUCUUAUUUAUUUCAUUUACCCACUUCUAAUUCAUCAAUAAAUGAUUUUGAAUCAGUAUACAAAAUAGACACCCAGCCUGAUUGUUCUUGCCAAUCCUACCUCCGAAUCCUAAUUCAAGCUAUCCUUCUCGUGUGCCCAGAUAAUCAUCUAACUGACCUACCUUUUUCCACUCUUGUCUUAGAGUCUAUUCUCCACAAAAUUGCCAGGGUAAUCUUUUAAAAGUGAAGCUCAGUUUGUAUCAGUUGUCCUCUAAAAGCUGUUAAAAUUCUUCUGUCAUUAUACUUAGCACAAAAUCUUAAUCAUAGCUUCAUUUUUUUUUUGAUAUUUCACUAAUUUCACCUUCAGCUACUUUCUCCGUUGCUGAUUUCAUUCUGGUGACAAUUCCCUUCCUUUCUACAUAAGAAAUCAAAUCUUGUUUCUGCCAUGAAGGCUUUGGACUUAGAAAUGCAAUGAGUAUUUAACCAGGGCUUUACUUGGUAGAAUUUAGCCAAGCAGUUUGAAAUCUUGAUCAUCAGCCUCUCAUCUUCUCCACACUCCAUUGCCAAAGUCUUUGUCAAAAUGCCAAAGUGUUGAUAAAAGAUUGUGCUUGUAAUUCUUGUUAUGGUACAAUUUCUCCUUAAUCCUGAAUUUCUUAGAAUAAGUACAUGAAUAAAUGAGAGAAUGAGUGAACAAAGUGCAGUACCUAAUAUGUGUCAAGCAUUGUGCUUGGCACUUUAAAAAAUUUGAAACAUUUCAAGCAUUUGAACGUUUUAUGUGAUUCCAGUGGCAUUUUCUGUGAAAGUUGUCAUGCCAUUUAAAAUGUUUUCAAAUAUGAAUCAUGUUACAAAAUUCAUAAUUUUAUAUGUCA
Molecule: long non-coding RNA, 1057 nt
Filed under: Homo sapiens (human)
Lineage: Eukaryota; Metazoa; Chordata; Mammalia; Primates; Hominidae
Description: HSALNT0369550
Source: RNAcentral